RNAcentral lists this ribosomal RNA (334 nucleotides) under uncultured eukaryote. RNAcentral describes it as "partial 18S ribosomal RNA". It matches the Rfam family "Eukaryotic small subunit ribosomal RNA", at positions 1470 to 1796 of the family's 1831-position model. The record is from RNAcentral.
CCCUUAGAUGUCCGGGGCUGGACGCGCGCUACACUGACUGGCUCAGCGUGUGCCUACCCUACGCCGGCAGGCGCGGGUAACCCGUUGAACCCCAUUCGUGAUGGGGAUCGGGGAUUGCAAUUAUUCCCCAUGAACGAGGAAUUCCCAGUAAGUGCGGGUCAUAAGCUUGCGUUGAUUAAGUCCCUGCCCUUUGUACACACCGCCCGUCGCUACUACCGAUUGGAUGGUUUAGUGAGGCCCUCGGAUCGGCCCCGCCGGGGUCGGCCCACGGCCCUGGCGGAGCGCUGAGAAGACGGUCGAACUUGACUAUCUAGAGGAAGUAAAAGUCGUAACA